GUGUCAGCCGCCGCGGUAAUACGAAGGGGGCUAGCGUUGUUCGGAAUUACUGGGCGUAAAGGGCGCGUAGGCGGCUUCGAUAGUCGGGUGUGAAAUGCCUGGGCUCAACCCAGGAACUGCACUCGAAACUCCGAGGCUAGAGUGUGGGAGAGGAUAGUGGAAUUCCCAGUGUAGAGGUGAAAUUCGUAGAUAUUGGGAAGAACACCGGUGGCGAAGGCGGCUAUCUGGACCACAACUGACGCUGAGGCGCGAAAGCGUGGGGAGCAAACAGGAUUAGAUACCCUGGUAGUCC
RNAcentral lists this ribosomal RNA (292 nucleotides) under uncultured bacterium. Its description in RNAcentral is "partial 16S ribosomal RNA". It matches the Rfam family "Bacterial small subunit ribosomal RNA", at positions 505 to 796 of the family's 1533-position model. The record is from RNAcentral.